GGAGAGGUGCCAGAGCGGUUGAACGGGCCGGUCUCGAAAACCGGAAUACGCGCAAGCGUAUCGUGGGUUCGAAUCCCACCCUCUCCGCCA
This 90-nucleotide transfer RNA is filed under the name Sulfuricaulis sp. Its description in RNAcentral is "tRNA-Ser". It matches the Rfam family "tRNA". Rfam says of the family: Transfer RNA (tRNA) molecules are approximately 80 nucleotides in length. Lineage: Bacteria; Pseudomonadati; Pseudomonadota; Gammaproteobacteria; Acidiferrobacterales; Acidiferrobacteraceae. The record is from RNAcentral.